RNAcentral lists this ribosomal RNA (429 nucleotides) under Actinomycetes bacterium. RNAcentral's name for it is "Actinobacteria bacterium partial 16S ribosomal RNA". It matches the Rfam family "Bacterial small subunit ribosomal RNA", at positions 355 to 776 of the family's 1533-position model. The record is from RNAcentral. Lineage: Bacteria; Bacillati; Actinomycetota; Actinomycetes.
UAGCGAAUCUUCCGCAAUGGGCGAAAGCCUGACGGAGCAACGCCGCGUGAGUGAUGAAGGUCUUCGGAUCGUAAAACUCUGUUAUUAGGGAAGAACAAAUGUGUAAGUAACUAUGCACGUCUUGACGGUACCUAAUCAGAAAGCCACGGCUAACUACGUGCCAGCAGCCGCGGUAAUACGUAGGUGGCAAGCGUUAUCCGGAAUUAUUGGGCGUAAAGCGCGCGUAGGCGGUUUUUUAAGUCUGAUGUGAAAGCCCACGGCUCAACCGUGGAGGGUCAUUGGAAACUGGAAAACUUGAGUGCAGAAGAGGAAAGUGGAAUUCCAUGUGUAGCGGUGAAAUGCGCAGAGAUAUGGAGGAACACCAGUGGCGAAGGCGACUUUCUGGUCUGUAACUGACGCUGAUGUGCGAAAGCGUGGGGAUCAAACAGG